This 756-nucleotide ribosomal RNA is filed under the name uncultured Sebacina. RNAcentral describes it as "partial 28S ribosomal RNA". It matches the Rfam family "Eukaryotic large subunit ribosomal RNA", at positions 216 to 962 of the family's 3401-position model. The record is from RNAcentral. Lineage: Eukaryota; Fungi; Basidiomycota; Agaricomycetes; Sebacinales; Sebacinaceae.
GAAUCCCGUAUAUGGCAUGGACUCCCGUUGCUCUGUGAUACACUCUCGACGAGUCGAGUUGUUUGGGAAUGCAGCUCUAAAUGGGUGGUAAAUGCCAUCUAAAGCUAAAUAUUGGCGAGAGACCGAUAGCGAACAAGUACCGUGAGGGAAAGAUGAAAAGCACUUUGGAAAGAGAGUGAAACAGUACGUGAAAUUGUUGAAAGGGAAACGCUUGAAGUCAGUCGCGCCGUUCGGGAUUCAGCCUUGCUUCUGCUCGGUUUACUUCCCGUUGGGUGGGUCAACAUCAGUUUCGGUCGGAGGAGAAAGACUUGGGGAAGGUAGCAGCAUUCGUGCUGUGUUAUAGCCCCUUGUUGUAUACUUCGAUUGGGACUGAGGACCGCAGCACGCCUUUGGCCGGGGUUCGCCCACGUACGUGCUUAGGAUGUUGGCAUAAUGGCUUUAAGCGACCCGUCUUGAAACACGGACCAAGGAGUCUAACAUGUGCGCGAGUGUUUGGGUGUUAAACUCGGACGCGAAAUGAAAGUGAAAGGUUGGGAACACUUAUGUGUGCACCAACGCCCGGAGCUGACCUCCUGUGACGCAUCUGCGGUAGAGCGUAUAUGUUGGGACCCGAAAGAUGGUGAACUAUGCCUGAAUAGGGUGAAGCCAGAGGAAACUCUGGUGGAGGCUCGUAGCGAUUCUGACGUGCAAAUCGAUCGUCAAAUUUGGGUAUAGGGGCGAAAGACUAAUCGAACCAUCUAGUAGCUGGUUCCUGCC